AGAACAACAUUUUUAUUGAAUAAGGCAAUCACUCGAAAUGCAAUCAACGACUUUUUCCACAUCCGAUUUUAAACUGGGCGUUAUACAUCAACAAUUUCUUGUCAUUACCGCUGAGUUUUUCUCAUACACUAAAAAAAUGGCACUUUUAAACUCGGGAGCCUAAAGCGAGUUUCUGAAUCACCUUCAUCAUACACAUUCAAAUCGGAAUAUUUGAAAGGCAGGGAUUUAUAAGACUAACAUUGUAGCAUUAGUCGGCAUAAGUACGAUAGUGUUUUGUAUCAGACCUUUUGAUUUUUGUUAGACAAAAUCGACAUAGUUGGUAAACUCAUUAUUUUGGGCGAAUUCGUACGCGUAAUAAAAAAAACCGAUUCUUACCGGAAACGUUCUCGUUAACUAACAUCCGAAAAUAUAUCGAAAAAAAAACCCUUUUCGAUCGAAUUUAAAAAAAAGAAUAAAAGCAUAAAUUGGUGUUGCCUUUAUGUCCAAACUUCAAAUAUAUAAUACGUACUACAAUAAUAAACUGGACAAAGAUCUGUUAAUUAGAUCGUGUAGUAGAAGGACACACUUGUUUUAUUCUUGAUAUCAGGUUCUUACCAACCUUCCGGCCUAUUAAACUCGUUACACAAACAUUUCCUUAAAGGAUGUAGAAACCCCUAUAAUGUAACUUUUGUUCUUCUAUAUCACAACAAUAAAUAUUACACCAGCCUCUCGACAAUUAAUAAGAAUUAUACAAACAUUUUCUUAAAGGAUGUAGAAACCUCAAUAAUGUAACUUUUGUUCUUCUAUAUCACAACAAAAUAUACUACAACAGUCUUAUAGGUCAAAGUACGGUUGUCAUCACGGAGCAUUGGCUCACACUAAAGAGCAAGCUAUAAAGGGCCACAUAAAUUAACUAGUGUAAAGCC
Molecule: long non-coding RNA, 905 nt
Filed under: Mytilus galloprovincialis (Mediterranean mussel)
Lineage: Eukaryota; Metazoa; Mollusca; Bivalvia; Mytilida; Mytilidae
Source: RNAcentral